Long non-coding RNA from Chinchilla lanigera (long-tailed chinchilla), 364 nucleotides. RefSeq lists it as uncharacterized. Lineage: Eukaryota; Metazoa; Chordata; Mammalia; Rodentia; Chinchillidae. The transcript has 3 exons. The record is from RefSeq and is a predicted model, not a curated record.
UCCCUUCUCUGUCUCUGUUUCCUGGCUGCCAUGACGUGAGCAACUUUCCUCCUCCGUAUCUCUCUGCUGCGUAACUCCUGCCCUGCAACCAGCCAACCAUGGACUGUAAACAUGAGCCAAGAAUUACUUAAUCAUCAUGACAUUAUGGUAUACCAACAUCCUUGCUUCUGGGCCAGUGAACUCAUUUUACAGAGAAUGAACACAAUUUAUGAAGCAGCUGACCUGAUAGAAUUUUGUAAUGACCUUUGAAGACUCAGUUUAGUGCCAGAAAUCCAAUGUGAUCAGAGCCAUCAGCAAGAUAUGUCCCCCAAAAUCUGUUUUAUAAUUUCCCAAUGGACAUUGCGGCAGAUUAAAAUGAAGUGAA